This 303-nucleotide ribosomal RNA is filed under the name uncultured bacterium. Its description in RNAcentral is "partial 16S ribosomal RNA". It matches the Rfam family "Bacterial small subunit ribosomal RNA", at positions 507 to 807 of the family's 1533-position model. The record is from RNAcentral.
AGCAGCAGCCGCGGGAAUACGGAGGGAGCUAGCGUUGUUCGGAAUUACUGGGCGUAAAGCGCGCGUAGGCGGUUACUCAAGUCAGAGGUGAAAGCCCGGGGCUCAACCCCGGAACUGCCUUUGAAACUAGGUGACUAGAAUCUUGGAGAGGUCAGUGGAAUUCCGAGUGUAGAGGUAAAAUUCGUAGAUAUUCGGAAGAACACCAGUGGCGAAGGCGACUGACUGGACAAGUAUUGACGCUGAGGUGCGAAAGCGUGGGGAGCAAACAGGAUUAGAGACCCCUGUAGUCCCUGUCUCUUAUAC